UACGGAGGGUGCAAGCGUUGCUCGGAAUUACUGGGCGUAAAGCGCGCGUAGGCGGACCUGCAAGUCGGGGGUGAAAGCCCGAGGCUCAACCUCGGAACUGCCUUCGAUACUGCGGGUCUCGAGUCCGGGAGAGGUGAGUGGAAUUCCUAGUGUAGAGGUGAAAUUCGUAGAUAUUAGGAAGAACACCAGUGGCGAAGGCGGCUCACUGGCCCGGUACUGACGCUGAGGUGCGAAAGCGUGGGGAGCAAACAGG
This 253-nucleotide ribosomal RNA is filed under the name uncultured bacterium. RNAcentral's name for it is "partial 16S ribosomal RNA". It matches the Rfam family "Bacterial small subunit ribosomal RNA", at positions 524 to 776 of the family's 1533-position model. The record is from RNAcentral.